AGGCUGAGCUGUGAUGGCGAGCGAAAUAUAGUAGCGAAGUUCCUGAUUCCACACUGCCAAGAAAAGCCUCUAGCGAGGUGAGAGGUGCCCGUACCGCAAACCGACACAGGUAGGCGAGGAGAGAAUCCUAAGGUGAUCGAGAGAACUCUCGUUAAGGAACUCGGCAAAAUGACCCCGUAACUUCGGGAGAAGGGGUGCUCUGUUAGGGUGCAAGCCCGAGAGAGCCGCAGUGAAUAGGCCCAGGCGACUGUUUAGCAAAAACACAGGUCUCUGCGAAGCCGUAAGGCGAAGUAUAGGGGCUGACGCCUGCCCGGUGCUGGAAGGUUAAGAGGAGCGCUUAGCGUAAGCGAAGGUGCGAAUUGAAGCCCCAGUAAACGGCGGCCGUAACUAUAACGGUCCUAAGGUAGCGAAAUUCCUUGUCGG
RNAcentral lists this ribosomal RNA (423 nucleotides) under Enterococcus faecalis. RNAcentral describes it as "partial 23S ribosomal RNA". It matches the Rfam family "Bacterial large subunit ribosomal RNA", at positions 1553 to 1975 of the family's 2925-position model. Lineage: Bacteria; Bacillati; Bacillota; Bacilli; Lactobacillales; Enterococcaceae. The record is from RNAcentral.